RNAcentral lists this ribosomal RNA (486 nucleotides) under uncultured bacterium. RNAcentral's name for it is "partial 16S ribosomal RNA". It matches the Rfam family "Bacterial small subunit ribosomal RNA", at positions 30 to 507 of the family's 1533-position model. The record is from RNAcentral.
AUUGAACGCUGGCGGCAUGCCUUACACAUGCAAGUCGAACGGCAGCACGGGUGCUUGCACCUGGUGGCGAUUGCCGAACGGGUGAGAAAUACAUCUGAACAUGUCCUGUAGUGGACGAUAGCCCGUCGAAAGCCGGAUUAAUACCGCAUACGAUCUACGGCUGAAAGCUGGGGACCGUCGGACCUCGCGCUAUAGGGUUGGCCGAUGGCUGAUUAGCUAGUUGGUGGGGUAAAGGCCUACCAAGGCGACGAUCAGUAGCUGGUCUGAGAGGACGACCAGCCACACUGGCACUGAGACACGGCCGAGACUCCUACGGGAGGCAGCAGUCGGGAAUCUUGGGCGAUGGGCGAAAGCCUGAUACAGCAAUGCCGCGUGUGUGCAGAAGGACUUCGGGUUGUAAAGCACUGUUGUCCGGAAAGAAAUAAUUGGCCCUUAUCCGGGCGGGUGAUGACGGUACCGGAAGAAUAAGCCCCGGCUAACUACGUG